GAUGAACGCUGGCGGCGUGCCUAAUACAUGCAAGUCGAGCGAACGGACGAGAAGCUUGCUUCUCUGAUGUUAGCGGCGGACGGGUGAGUAACACGUGGAUAACCUACCUAUAAGACUGGGAUAACUUCGGGAAACCGGAGCUAAUACCGGAUAAUAUUUUGAACCGCAUGGUUCAAAAGUGAAAGACGGUCUUGCUGUCACUUAUAGAUGGAUCCGCGCUGCAUUAGCUCGUUGGUAAGGUAACGGCUUACCAAGGCAACGAUGCAUAGCCGACCUGAGAGGGUGAUCGGCCACACUGGAACUGAGACACGGUCCAGACUCCUACGGGAGGCAGCAGUAGGGAAUCGUCCGCAAUGGGCGAAAGCCUGACGGAGCAACGCCGCGUGAGUGAUGAAGGUCUUCGGAUCGUAAAACUCUGUUAUUAGGGAAGAACAUAUGUGUAAGUAACUGUGCACAUCUUGACGGUACCUAAUCAGAAAGCCACGGCUAACUACGUG
Molecule: ribosomal RNA, 497 nt
Filed under: uncultured bacterium
Lineage: Bacteria
Description: partial 16S ribosomal RNA
Rfam family: Bacterial small subunit ribosomal RNA
Source: RNAcentral